GACGAACGCUGGCGGCGUGCUUAACACAUGCAAGUCGAACGGAAAGGCCCUGCUUUUGUGGGGUGCUCGAGUGGCGAACGGGUGAGUAACACGUGAGUAACCUGCCCUUGACUUUGUGAUAACUUCAGGAAACUGGGGCUAAUACCGGAUAGGAGCUCCUGCUGCAUGGUGGGGGUUGGAAAGUUUCGGCGGUUGGGGAUGGACUCGCGGCUUAUCAGCUUGUUGGUGGGGUAGUGGCUUACCAAGGCUUUGACGGGUAGCCGGCCUGAGAGGGUGACCGGCCCCAUUGGGACUGAGAUACGGCCCAGACUCCUACGGGAGGCAGCAGUGGGGAAUAUUGCACAAUGGGCGGAAGCCUGAUGCAGCAACGCCGCGUGCGGGAUGACGGCCUUCGGGUUGUAAACCGCUUUCGCCUGUGACGAAGCGUGAGUGACGGUAAUGGGUAAAGAAGCACCGGCUAACUACGUG
Molecule: ribosomal RNA, 468 nt
Filed under: uncultured bacterium
Lineage: Bacteria
Description: partial 16S ribosomal RNA
Rfam family: Bacterial small subunit ribosomal RNA
Source: RNAcentral